CAGAGGUUUUUUUGGAAUGCAGGGUGUGGCCCUCUAACACAGCGAAAAAGAAAUGAGUCAGCCCGGGCGAUCCUAACCAAUAAGCGUGUUCACUGUCGGCUAAGGCGGAACUUUCCUGUCUUGAUUUAUAUCAGCCUUUAAAAAAGAACUUGUUUGUUUUGUUUUGUUUUGUUUUUCCCGAACUUCAGCCUUAGCAACUUCCAAGAAAAUGGUCGAUAGCUCUUUAAAAACUCUUUCAAAACAAGAACUAAUCUCGUCAUGACAGACAGAUCCGUGGAGUCCAGCACGUUAGAGUGGAAAGAGCACUGCACCAGGAGUCCAGAGCUCCAGCACUAAUCCCAGCUGUGCCCACACGUGACCAGGAGCCCAGCGCUAAGUCAACCGUGACCAGGAGCCCAGCGCUAAGUCAACCGUGUCAUCUCUCUGAAGGGCUCCAAGAGUUCUUCCACCCGAAAGACCAACUUAUGGCCAAAAAGGGCAGGCGCAAGGAUCCAGUCAAGCUUAAAAUUCACAGAAUGGGUGCUCUGUCCAGGAAGAAGGGCAUCAUACAUACGUCCACCUGCAAUCACUAACUCAAAGCACUUGAAAGAUGUUUACAAUAAUCCUUAUGCUUCCAAAGUAAAGACACAGUUGCCAAUGUUG
Molecule: long non-coding RNA, 642 nt
Filed under: Ursus maritimus (polar bear)
Lineage: Eukaryota; Metazoa; Chordata; Mammalia; Carnivora; Ursidae
Description: lncRNA (ENSUMAG00000011287.1)
Source: RNAcentral